RNAcentral lists this unclassified non-coding RNA (372 nucleotides) under uncultured Bacteroidaceae bacterium. RNAcentral describes it as "contains 16S-23S intergenic spacer region". The record is from RNAcentral. Lineage: Bacteria; Pseudomonadati; Bacteroidota; Bacteroidia; Bacteroidales; Bacteroidaceae.
UCACAUCUUACGAUGGCAGUCCUUCCAGAGUCCCCAGCAUUACCUGAUGGUAACUGGAAGCAAGGGUUGCGCUCGUUAUGGCACUUAAGCCGACACCUCACGGCACGAGCUGACGACAACCAUGCAGCACCUUCACACUGGUCCGAAGAAAAACCCAUCUCUGAGUCUGUCCAGUGCAAUUUAAGCCCGGGUAAGGUUCCUCGCGUAUCAUCGAAUUAAACCACAUGUUCCUCCGCUUGUGCGGGCCCCCGUCAAUUCCUUUGAGUUUCACCGUUGCCGGCGUACUCCCCAGGUGGGAUACUUAACGUUUUCACUUGGCCGCUGACAAUAUAUCGCCAACAGCGAGUAUCCAUCGUUUACCGUGUGGACUAC